RNAcentral lists this long non-coding RNA (748 nucleotides) under Homo sapiens (human). Its description in RNAcentral is "HSALNT0322559". Lineage: Eukaryota; Metazoa; Chordata; Mammalia; Primates; Hominidae. The record is from RNAcentral.
AGUGCCUCACAGACAGCAUCCCAGCACAUCAUGGAGAGCUAAGUGACAGAACAGGCAGCUCCUCUUCUCCCUGACAUGGGCAGUGUUUAAUCAUUCCCUUUGCAAAGGAUCCCCAAAUUGGGAGAGGCUGGAUGGAUGACUAAGUCAAGUUGGUGCAAAAUGAGUCACGUUUCUUGAAGGUCACUUCCCCAAAUGUAUGAGCCACCAAAGGGAAAGGAAAACUAUUUCUUAAGGUUCUAAGAAUUAAGUAGCAUGAAAUCCAAAUCUAAAAUCAUUGUCUCCAUGCUUCAUUGAAGAAAAUGAACGUGAAAAAAUCCAAUAGCAGCUGCAAACCAUUUAAGAAUUCCUAGUUAAACUGCAAAAUACAUUUUCAACCAUUUAGCCAUAACAACUUCUAAACGGAGAAAGUUGCUUCUUUAUAUAAACCACCUCUGUUUACCAAACAUCAGAGAAUCUCCGGGCAGAGGGCUACUGCAGGAUGGGAAUAGUAAGAGAAUGUUACAACCCAUGAGGUGCUGAUCUGCACACACCACCGUGAGGAAAUACCUUAAGUGAUUAAAGACAAACGCCACCUGCAUGCUUGGCAAAGGAGUCCACUGCUAUCGCCACACACUCUCCCCAGUGAGAGAGGGGAAACGAUGGACUGAAGUCCCACAGUGGAUUAGAACUGGGCACAAAAGGAGCCAGGAACAGAAGAUGGCAGCAUAGGAAGGGAAUGUUAUGCUUUGCCCCAGCUGGGGACUCUGGC